GACGGAGGGUGCAAACGUUGUUCGGAAUUACUGGGCGUAAAGCGCGUGUAGGCGGCAUGGCAAGUCGGGUGUGAAAGCCCUGGGCUCAACCUAGGAAGUGCACUCGAAACUGCCACGCUUGAGUUUUGGAGAGGAAGGCGGAAUUCUCGGUGUAGAGGUGAAAUUCGUAGAUAUCGGGAGGAACACCGGUGGCGAAGGCGGCCUUCUGGACAAUGACUGACGCUGAGACGCGAAAGCGUGGGGAGCAAACAGG
RNAcentral lists this ribosomal RNA (253 nucleotides) under uncultured Chondromyces sp. RNAcentral describes it as "partial 16S ribosomal RNA". It matches the Rfam family "Bacterial small subunit ribosomal RNA", at positions 524 to 776 of the family's 1533-position model. Lineage: Bacteria; Pseudomonadati; Myxococcota; Polyangiales; Polyangiaceae. The record is from RNAcentral.